GACGAACGCUGGCGGCGUGCCUAAUACAUGCAAGUCGGACGCUUUUUCUUUCACCGGAGCUUGCUCCACCGAAAGAAAAAGAGUGGCGAACGGGUGAGUAACACGUGGGUAACCUGCCCAUCAGAAGGGGAUAGCGCUUGGAAACAGGUGCUAAUACCGUAUAACACUAUUUUCCGCAUGGAAGAAAGUUGAAAGGCGCUUUUGCGUCACUGAUGGAUGGACCCGCGGUGCAUUAGCUAGUUGGUGAGGUAACGGCUCACCAAGGCAACGAUGCAAAGCCGAACGGAGAGGGUGAUCGGCCACACUGGGACUGAGACACGGCCCAGACUCCUACGGGAGGCAGCAGUAGGGAAUCUUCGGCAAUGGACGAAAGUCUGACCGAGCAACGCCGCGUGAGUGAAGAAGGUUUUCGGAUCGUAAAACUCUGUUGUUAGAGAAGAACAAGGAUGAGAGUAGAACGUUCAUCCCUUGACGGUAUCUAACCAGAAAGCCACGGCUAACUACGUGCCAGCAGCCGCCGUAA
This 523-nucleotide ribosomal RNA is filed under the name uncultured bacterium. RNAcentral describes it as "partial 16S ribosomal RNA". It matches the Rfam family "Bacterial small subunit ribosomal RNA", at positions 28 to 523 of the family's 1533-position model. The record is from RNAcentral.